CUUAUAAUGUAUUAAAUUCUAAACAAUAUUUUAAAAUGAUAUUUAUCUCACAAAGUGAGGAACAUCAAAUUCACAAUGUAGACCAAAUGAGAGAUCCAUUUAAGCUUGUGGAUAUUGUAAAUUGCCACCCCUUGGGAAAAGAACAACAUCCUGAAUGCUUUGGAACCUAUAAUUAGGUUAAAUUACCCCCAAGAAAUAAAACUUUCUCUUUACAUCUGCUUGAAUAUUGAAUACCCGUAAGAUGUCCUUGGAUUCUUAAUUUAAGGGAUAAUUUCAUCUUGACAACAUAUUGUAUUUUACACUUCAUACAGGUGAGGAGAUAGCUCACAUGCAUAUUUCCUCCCUGUAACAGUAGAACAAAAAUGUUUUGAUUGGGGAGGAGACAAACUCCUGAAGCGAAUGGUCGCAGAUCUCUGGAGCUCCUGAUAUCUGGGGCUUACAAUAGUAUUUUCCCAAGGCCACUGCUAUCCAAAAAGCGGAGAGCAACGGACAGAAGAUCCGUGGCAUCACGGAAGAGGUGCCGAAAGCCGAAUUGCUGCACCUCAUACGCAGGCUGCUGACGGCGCUCCUCCCGACAAGACAGGCUAAAAUAAUAGGCCUGGUUGGUUUCUUCCGGGCCCCAAAGCCAGCCAGAGCUCCACCAACAGUUUCCCGGGACCUCAUAAUAAGGUUUCAGCAAAACAAAGAUAAGGCAGCGGUACUAGCUGCAGUCAGAGACUGCACCCCACACCCAUUUGAAUCAAUGACUCUCUCCUUCUACAUGGACCUCUCGGGAGGCACCUUGGCAUGGCUACGGUCCCUUCAGCCAAUCACCUUGCUCCUCAGACAACAUGCGAUUCAAUACCGUUGGCGCCCAACACAACCCCUGCUAAUCCUAAAGGGGGAAGAUAAGCAUGAGAUAUUCAACCUACAAGGUGCACAGGACGUACUGGCCACUUUGGGACUACCACAACAACCCCCAUGACCCCCUGGGCCACAAGGCAUCGGGAGACCAACACAGAGCUGGGACCUUGAGAGAGUGACGACAUUUGUUCCGCGACAACCCAAGCGGGGUCCCCACGCAGCAACUGCCACCUGAGAUCGUCAUGAAGCUCUGGAGCUCCAAUACUAUACUGACAGCUGUUUUCCUUUCUUCCCAGUUGAUAACUGUUCCUGUUUAUUGAUGUCCCUCAAGACAUAUAGCUCGAAUGCAAAAGCAUAAACACAUACACAUAUACAUGGCUUAACUCAUCCCCCUGGGCCACGACCGUUCGGUUCAAACCCCACAAACGCAACGCACCGCCUUACCACAUUCCUCCCCCCCUCCCCCUGCCUGAUUUCAGUUUAAACUGAACGCCAUACUUAACGACGGUGAGGCCAGGUGGUAAACACUUAAUCUAGAGGUACAAUUCCAUUCACUAAGCGUCUGCUACACUUAUCUUAACAUGGUCAAUAGAUAAGCCUAUACACUGUCUUAUUCACACGAGCUGACCUACACCACUCUACUGUUUAAUCGUAUUAAAUUUUUUUUUAAAAAUUUGCACAGUUCCUUAAUGCCAAUUGUAUUUAUAUGUAAGCGGAAACCCUGGCAUUAGCUGUUGUGGCAUUGCUGGCGUACAUGUAACCUGUACAAUCCAUGCAUGACAAAAUAAAGAAUUCAAAAAAUAAAAUAAAAUACUUUGAUCUCCAUAUAACUACAUGACACACAUGGCCUACUUUCAAACCUUUAAAGACCCUUAGUAGCAAGCCAUGUGACCAUUUCAUUUGUUUCACUCCUAAAUAAGCUAGGGGACAACAGAGAUCCCACAGUCUUAGGUCUUCUAGCUACAAAUCUGUAUCCAUUCGAGUUCUUACAAACUAGAUCUUCCAAUCUAGCAUCAUUCAACAAUAGGUAAAAGUCUCAAGAUAAUC
Molecule: long non-coding RNA, 1890 nt
Filed under: Pelobates cultripes (western spadefoot toad)
Lineage: Eukaryota; Metazoa; Chordata; Amphibia; Anura; Pelobatidae
Source: RNAcentral